This 82-nucleotide small nuclear RNA is filed under the name Falco tinnunculus (common kestrel). RNAcentral's name for it is "U5 spliceosomal RNA (ENSFTIG00000005819.1)". It matches the Rfam family "U5 spliceosomal RNA", at positions 35 to 117 of the family's 117-position model. From Rfam's summary of the family: U5 RNA is a component of both types of known spliceosome. The precise function of this molecule is unknown, though it is known that the 5' loop is required for splice site selection and p220 binding, and that both the 3' stem-loop and the Sm site are important for Sm protein binding and cap methylation. The record is from Rfam by way of RNAcentral. Lineage: Eukaryota; Metazoa; Chordata; Aves; Falconiformes; Falconidae.
UCGCCUUUUACUAAAGAUUUCCGUGGAGAGAAACAAAUACGAGUGUUGUCGAAAUUUUUUAAGGCUCCAUUUUGGUGGAGCU